UUGCAAACAAACAAUAGUUACAUCAUCGACAACGCAAACUGAGUUUUGUCACACCCGGAUUUAGGGGGGCAAACCUAGGCGCGACUCACAUGUGUGCUAGGAUCAAGUCUCACACAUAUGAUGACUUAUGGUACAGAAACGAAUGUCACAUUAUUAAUAUAUAACGAAGUUCUGUACAAAAUAGAUAAAUAAUUACAUCAUACGAAGACAACGAUCCAGCAACCAAAGUUGACUGGGAGAUGACGACCUAGACCUCUCACAAAUCCAUCGUGACAUCCUUCAUGCUUCUCAUCAUGUUGUACUUGUUCUUGACCUGGGGGAUGUGAGUACAACAAGAGUGAGCUCAUAUACGUUCAUAGCUCAACAAGUUGUGGGGAAUAAUGUGCAUGAGCUCACUUGCAUUGGGGCUCAUGUGAAGUGUAAGGCUUACUAAAGAGGAUGGUUAAAGCUGAGCAUCGCUUUUAAAGUUGUCAAAAUUUUAUUAGCAGUUACUAAGUAUAAGUAGAUACCAACCCAAAUAAUAAGAGAUCACAAUUAAUAAUAACACCCACGAUGCAAUGCAUAUGACAAAUUAAUUAGUUUAGUUCCAUAAAUUAAUCGUGCGAGAGUCUUGAGUCGCUCUUGACCGUGAGCACGGUUGAUAUACCAGUUUUACACUCUAAAGAGGUUGCGCAUAUUUACCCACAAGUUGUGUUACCCAUUUGUCAUGGGGUUGAUCAGACCCCAUACACCUCUACUGAGGAAGCGAGGCAGGGUAGCACUAUGAUGCCUUUCCAAAGUUUCACUAGUUCGAUAAUACCCACUACGGUUUUAGGACGAAGGAAGCAUAGGAAUCCCUCGUUUGAACUGCCAUCACAAUAGUUCAACCCGAGAACCUCCCUAUACUUUGCAGCGACGCCUCCCCGCUUGCCCCUUUCGGGUAAGGUAAUCUCUCCCUAGCUUUCCUAAUUACUUGGCCAAGGGCGUCCCAUUCCACCCUUGUGGUAGCACAGUUAUCUCAAGUUAAGCUUCAUGUUCCAAUUAACACAAUGAUCUUGUCAUGAACAGUAAUUACAAUAACAACAUAAUUGGAACAUUAUCAUAAUAUAACAUUAAUCCCAAAACCAGGUAGAGCAAUAGCAAUACUACCCAAACGUUCAUUUGUAUGCAAGGUGCGGGAUAAACAAUACUAGGGAAACCUAUUAGAUCCCAUCAAACUAACCUGAGCAUGUCACAGUGAUUAAUAGGAACAUUAUUAGGUAGAGAGAAAAGUGAUCAAGGGCACAACUUGCCUUAGACUCGAAAUUCCUAGGUAUUUCACUAACUUGGUCUUCAAGUGACUCUUAACCUCGCUGUUACUCGUAGUAGUACAAACAAACAAGGUAUAGGCAAAAUUAACAUCACACCAAACAUGAGAACAUGUUGAAUAAUAAUUAUCUACGUAUCAUAACGAGAUCAUAGGUUCGAUAACCACUAAAUUCAGAGUUACGGUUAAAGAGUUAUGAUUUUUCGAAGUUUUAAGUGCUAGAUAUAGAGUAAAUUAAGUGCAUAAUUUUUAACCUAUGUUUCAUAACAAAAUAAGGUUACUAGAUGAUGAACAAUAUUAAUAUGAAUUUAAUGCAACUAGAAUGGAUUAAAAAGGAGUUAGAAUGAAUUACUUAUGGAUUAAACAAGAUUCUAGAAUUAUUUCUAUAUAGAAAAUCAUUUUGAAUUAUUUCUUAUGAAUAAACCAAGACCAAAGGACUGCGACCACAAUUUUAUAUAGGUUCAGGGUCUAUUUUGUAAAUCCCAAGACCUAUUUGCAUGGAUCCUGGAAUACGCGUGACCGCGGGUUGAUUCCUAAGUUCUUUAGGGUCUCUUUUACAAUUAUACCGCGGCGAAGGGGUACGAGUCGAUCUCGGCCAUCCGAUCUAACUCAAGCGCCAGGAUUAAACAUUACCUAAAGUGAACUUAGGAGCCCUUGGAUCUAAAUCACACGGCCCACAAUACAUCCACGUUGUAAUCCAACCCGAACCCUCCGAUUACCAUCCAACGGUCUGGAUCACAUCCUUUGAAACACUAUCUCUAAUCUAAUCGCAACCACACGAUGGGAGAUCUACGUCCGACGCGAUCCCAGUCGAACCUUCACUCACACCGCCCAACCCAGGAUGGAGGCGCAUGGAUAGUCGCGGCGGCGCCAUGGCCGGGGUUCCCUCGAACCCGCUCCGGUGAUCGAAAACCUUAUCAGUGCAGUGAUACAUGUAGACGAGAAUCUGGCGAACCCGAGCGGGGUGACGUACCUGCGGAAGAAGCGACGAGGUGCCCUGCCCACAUAUGCGAGCGGCCACACGGUGGCACCAUCGCUCCGGCGAGCAAUUGCUACUGCUCGACUACCAAUCACGCCCCGGGAAAUCCACGAGCGCCUUCGUGAAGGCUUGGAGAAGCUCCAGACCACGACACACGGACCCCGUCGGUGGCGUAUGGGUGUAAUCGAUGGCGGCGGUGACUCGGCUUCCCUUCCCAAUUUGCUCAGCCCGCACGACGCCCCAAAUUAUCGAGUUUCCCUACGGUCGACUGGUCAAG
Molecule: long non-coding RNA, 2541 nt
Filed under: Zea mays
Lineage: Eukaryota; Viridiplantae; Streptophyta; Magnoliopsida; Poales; Poaceae
Description: long non-coding RNA (ZMAY_LNC002985)
Source: RNAcentral